RNAcentral lists this ribosomal RNA (253 nucleotides) under uncultured bacterium. RNAcentral describes it as "partial 16S ribosomal RNA". It matches the Rfam family "Bacterial small subunit ribosomal RNA", at positions 524 to 776 of the family's 1533-position model. The record is from RNAcentral. RNAcentral also lists the same sequence under 1 other name.
UACGAAGGGUGCAAGCGUUAAUCGGAAUUACUGGGCGUAAAGCGUGCGUAGGCGGUUGGCUAAGUCAGAUGUGAAAGCCCUGGGCUCAACCUGGGAAUGGCAUUUGAAACUGGCCGGCUAGAGUGUGAUAGAGGAUGGCGGAAUUCCCGGUGUAGCGGUGAAAUGCGUAGAGAUCGGGAGGAACAUCCGUGGCGAAGGCGGCCAUCUGGAUCAACACUGACGCUGAGGCACGAAAGCGUGGGGAGCAAACAGG